UACGGGGGGGGUAAGCGUUGUUCGGAAUUACUGGGCGUAAAGGGCUCGUAGGCGGCCAACUAAGUCGGACGUGAAAUCCCUCAGCUUAACUGGGGAACUGCGUCCGAUACUGGAUGGCUUGGAUUUGGGAGAGGGAUGCGGAAUUCCAGGUGUAGCGGUGAAAUGCGUAGAUAUCAUGAGGAAGACCAGUGGCGAAGGCGGGUCUCUGGACAGUUCCUGACACUGAGGCACGAAGGCCAGGGGAGCAAACGGG
Molecule: ribosomal RNA, 253 nt
Filed under: uncultured bacterium
Lineage: Bacteria
Description: partial 16S ribosomal RNA
Rfam family: Bacterial small subunit ribosomal RNA
Source: RNAcentral